Molecule: long non-coding RNA, 1051 nt
Filed under: Sus scrofa (pig)
Lineage: Eukaryota; Metazoa; Chordata; Mammalia; Artiodactyla; Suidae
Description: lncRNA (ENSSSCG00025003752.1)
Source: RNAcentral
AGUAUCCAUGAGGAUGCAGGUUCAAUCCCUGGCCUCAUUCAGUGGGUUACGGAUCCAGCGUUGCCAUGAGCUGCAGUAGAGGUUGCAGACAUGGCUUGGAUCCUGCAUUGCUGUGGCUGUGGUGUAGGCCAGCAGCUGUGGCUCCAGUUUGAUCUCUAGCCUGGAAAUGUCCAUAUGCCUCAGGUGCCCUCAGGUGCAACCCUAAAAAGCAAUCAAUCAAUCAAUACGGCAGACUGACCAGAGAAUGUGUGAGACCAUCCCAGGAGAGGUUCCAACCCUGGGGCUUCCUGGGCAGGUGGCAGGACCAAGAGUGUGGGAAGUUGUGUGAAGGGAACUUGACAAUGGGAGACAGAACACGAGGAUCCAGUGGGUGACUUCUCCCUGCCUGCCUCCUGAAGGGUGGUUCUGAGAAGCUUCAUGUCCACACAGCCUGCCCGGAGACAGUGCACAGGACCAACCAACCAAUCUGCCUUUCUGGCGAGGCUGAGACAAAUCAGGAAAGUCAUGCCGCAGUUCCUGGCAGAUCUGUCAAACAUACUCCCACCUGGGUUUCUAAUCCAGAACCAGCUCGGAUCAGCAAGGGCGAGACUUCCUGCCUGAAGAACACCUACCAAGGAGCUUGUGUCAGAUCAUUUGGGGACUGUCAGCAUGUCUGCAACUCUGUCACAACAAUUGGAGAGUAAUGUCAACAGAAAGAACAAAAAGCCUGAUACAGGAAAUCUUCACGUAUUGAGAUACGGAAGUCCUUCUGACUUACAUAUGCAUUAACUUGAAUUUCAUGCUAACUAAAAUAGCCCAUUUGUGGCCUAUUCACAUAUCUGGUACAUCUGCUUUAAUUAUUAAAGAAAAGAGCCCAUGGACCAGAAGUAAAGAAUGCCCCUGUUAAAAAUGAAGACUAGGAGUUCCCGCUGUGGCUCAGCAGGUUAAGAACCCAACAUAGCGUCCGUAAGGAUGUGGGUACAAUCCCUGGUCUCACUCAGUGGGUUGAUGAUCUGGUGUUGCCAUGGCUAUAGCGGAAGUCCAUAUUAAAAAAAAAAAAAGGAAAGAAAGA